GGUCGCUUAGCUCAGCUGGUCCAGAGCGCUCGCUUCACACGCGAGAGGUCAUAGGUUCAAAUCCUAUAGCGACCA
Molecule: transfer RNA, 75 nt
Filed under: Hyphomicrobiales bacterium
Lineage: Bacteria; Pseudomonadati; Pseudomonadota; Alphaproteobacteria; Hyphomicrobiales
Also listed under: 3 other names
Description: tRNA-Val
Rfam family: tRNA
About the family: Transfer RNA (tRNA) molecules are approximately 80 nucleotides in length. Their secondary structure includes four short double-helical elements and three loops (D, anti-codon, and T loops).
Source: RNAcentral